Molecule: long non-coding RNA, 177 nt
Organism: Apis florea (little honeybee)
Lineage: Eukaryota; Metazoa; Arthropoda; Insecta; Hymenoptera; Apidae
Source: RefSeq, a predicted model, not a curated record
GAGAGACCUGCGAACGCGUCCAUUCCUACGUGCGAACCACGGUUCGAGGAAUCGAUUGCGUAAAUGUAGGAAGCGCGGAUGCAUUCACCUUUCGAGCUCCCUUGUGCAGCCUUGCUCGCCCAGUGCCUCUCAUCCUCCUUCUGAUUUUUCAAAUAAGUCCGCGAAAAAAUCUUCCUC